Molecule: ribosomal RNA, 500 nt
Filed under: uncultured bacterium
Lineage: Bacteria
Description: bacterial SSU rRNA
Rfam family: Bacterial small subunit ribosomal RNA
Source: RNAcentral
GAUGAACGCUAGCGGCAGGCUUAAUACAUGCAAGUCGUGGGGCAGCAGGACGGUAGCAAUACCGUUGCUGGCGACCGGCAAACGGGUGCGGAACACGUACACAACCUUCCUUUAAGUGGGGAAUAGCCCGGGGAAACCCGGAUUAAUACCUCGUAACAUAAUGAAGUGGCAUCACUUUAUUAUUAUAGCAGCAAUGCGCUUGAUGAUGGGUGUGCGCCUGAUUAGGUAGUUGGCGGGGUAACGGCCCACCAAGCCUUCGAUCAGUAACUGGUGUGAGAGCACGACCAGUCACACGGGCACUGAGACACGGGCCCGACUCCUACGGGAGGCAGCAGUAAGGAAUAUUGGUCAAUGGACGCAAGUCUGAACCAGCCAUGCCGCGUGGAGGAUGAAGGUCCUCUGGAUUGUAAACUUCUUUUAUCUGGGAAGAAAUCCAUAUUUUCUAAUGUGGUUGACGGUACCAGACGAAUAAGCACCGGCUAACUCCGUGCCAGCAGCCG